RNAcentral lists this ribosomal RNA (214 nucleotides) under uncultured bacterium. Its description in RNAcentral is "partial 16S ribosomal RNA". It matches the Rfam family "Bacterial small subunit ribosomal RNA", at positions 587 to 793 of the family's 1533-position model. The record is from RNAcentral.
GUCAGAUGUGAAAGCCCCGGGGCUCAAACCUCGGGAAUUUGACAUUUUGAAACUGGCAAACUAGAGUACUGUAGAGGGGGUAGAAUUUCAGGUGUAGCGGUGAAAUGCGUAGAGAUCUGAAGGAAUACCGGUGGCGAAGGCGGCCCCCUGGACAGAUACUGACACUCAGAUGCGAAAAGCGUGGGGAGCAAACAGGAUUAGAUACCCCUGGUAG